Molecule: ribosomal RNA, 875 nt
Filed under: uncultured marine group I thaumarchaeote
Lineage: Archaea; Thermoproteati; Nitrososphaerota
Description: bacterial SSU rRNA
Rfam family: Archaeal small subunit ribosomal RNA
Source: RNAcentral
CCUGACUGCUAUCGGAUUGAUACUAAGCCAUGCGAGUCAUUGUAGUAAUACAAGGCAGACGGCUCAGUAACGCGUAGUCAACCUACCCUAUGGACGGGAAUAACCUCGGGAAACUGAGAAUAAUGCCCGAUAGAACAUUAUACCUGGAAUGGUUUAUGUUCCAAAUGAUUUAUCGCCAUAGGAUGGGACUGCGGCCUAUCAGUUUGUUGGUGAGGUAAUGGCCCACCAAGACUAUUACAGGUACGGGCUCUGAGAGGAGUGGCCCGGAGAUGGGUACUGAGACACGGACCCAGGCCCUAUGGGGCGCAGCAGGCGAGAAAACUUUGCAAUGUGCGAAAGCACGACAAGGUUAAUCCGAGUGGUUUCUGCUAAAGGAACCUUUUGUCAGUCCUAAAAACACCGAUGAAUAAGGGGUGGGCAAGUUCUGGUGUCAGCCGCCGCGGUAAAACCAGCACCUCAAGUUGUCAGGAUGAUUAUUGGGCCUAAAGCAUCCGUAGCCGGCUCUGUUAGUUUUCGGUUAAAUCUGUACGCUUAACGUACAGGCUGCCGGGAAUACUGCAGAACUAGGGAGUGGGAGAGGUAGACGGUACUCGGUAGGAAGGGGUAAAACCCUUUGAUCUAUUGAUGACCACCUGUGGCGAAGGCGGUCUACCAGAACACGUCCGACGGUGAGGGAUGAAAGCUGGGGGAGCAAACCGGAUUAGAUACCCGGGUAGUCCCAGCUGUAAACUAUGCAAACUCAGUGAUGCAUUGGCUUGUGGCCAAUGCAGUGCUGCAGGGAAGCCGUUAAGUUUGCCGCCUGGGAAGUACGUACGCAAGUAUGAAACUUAAAGGAAUUGGCGGGGGAGCACCACAAGGGGUGAAGCCUGCGGUUC